GUUAUUUUAUUAUAAAGAGUAAGCUCUACUGUUAAUAGGGAAGUAAAAAUAACU
This 54-nucleotide transfer RNA is filed under the name Aphelenchus avenae. RNAcentral's name for it is "tRNA-Asn". Lineage: Eukaryota; Metazoa; Nematoda; Chromadorea; Rhabditida; Aphelenchidae. The record is from RNAcentral.